Molecule: ribosomal RNA, 460 nt
Filed under: uncultured bacterium
Lineage: Bacteria
Description: partial 16S ribosomal RNA
Rfam family: Bacterial small subunit ribosomal RNA
Source: RNAcentral
ACUACGGGUGGCAGCAGUGAGGAAUAUUGGUCAAUGGGCGCGAGCCUGAACCAGCCAAGUAGCGUGAAGGAUGACUGCCCUACGGGUUGUAAACUUCUUUUAUAAAGGAAUAAAGUGAGGCAAGUGUGCCUUUUUGUAUGUACUUUCUGAAUAAGGAUCGGCUAACUCCGUGCCAGCAGCCGCGGUAAUACGGAGGAUCCGAGCGUUAUCCGGAUUUCUGGGGUUUAAAGGGAGCGUAGAUGGGUUUUUAAGUCAGUUGUGAAAGUUUGCGGCUCAACCGUAAAAUUGCAAUUGAUACUGGCAGUCUUGAGUACAGUUGAGGUAGGCGGAAUUCGUGGUGUAGCGGUGAAAUGCGUAGAUAUCACGAAGAACUCCGAUUGCGAAGGCAGCUUACUAAACUGCCACUGACAUUGAUGCUCGAAAGUGUGGGUAUCAAACAGGAUUAGAUACCCUGGUAGUC